Molecule: small RNA, 573 nt
Filed under: Pan troglodytes (chimpanzee)
Lineage: Eukaryota; Metazoa; Chordata; Mammalia; Primates; Hominidae
Description: retained intron
Source: RNAcentral
AAGAAGAAACAGAAAGGAGUUUUCCAUAUUUGUGCCCUAAAAGACAAUUCCCUGGCAAAAAAUGGGAUCCAAGAAAUGGAUUGUUGUUCUCUAGAAUCUGACUGGAUCUAUUUCCAUCCUGAUGCUUCUGGUAGAAUAAUACAUGUUGGUCCAAAUCAAGUCAAGUGAGUAAUCUCAUUAGCACUUGAAAGUUAAGAGCAGCUUUUGGUAGCAUUUAUUGGCAUCUUUAUUUUUGCCAGCGAACUAGUGAGCCAAUUAAUGGAAAUAAUUAGCUUGUUGUUGGGUGCUUCCUCAGAGACUGGCAUACAGAAAACCUGAAUUUAUUCUUUGAGACUCAACAUUACUGUUUGUAAAUAUUAAAUUUGAAAACGUUAUUUGAUGGAUGAUAUGCAAGUAAAAGGGAAUUACAGACUGGCCCUUUCUCAUCAGGUCUUAGUUAAUCCUAUAAGGUUAAUAAGAAAGAAGAGUAUUUGUCUUUGUUCUGAAAGGCAGCCUAGACACAGGAAAGGAAGUAGAUUGUUUGAAGUAAAUCUUGUUUUAUUUUGAUUGGUUUCAGGGCACACACAACUCCCA